UACGUAGGGUGCAAGCGUUAAUCGGAAUUACUGGGCGUAAAGCGUGCGCAGGCGGUUGUGCAAGACAGAUGUGAAAUCCCCGGGCUUAACCUGGGAACUGCAUUUGUGACUGCACGGCUAGAGUGUGUCAGAGGGGGGUAGAAUUCCACGUGUAGCAGCGAAAUGCGUAGAUAUGUGGAGGAAUACCGAUGGCGAAGGCAGCCCCCUGGGAUAACACUGACGCUCAUGCACGAAAGCGUGGGGAGCAAACAGG
This 253-nucleotide ribosomal RNA is filed under the name uncultured bacterium. RNAcentral describes it as "partial 16S ribosomal RNA". It matches the Rfam family "Bacterial small subunit ribosomal RNA", at positions 524 to 776 of the family's 1533-position model. The record is from RNAcentral.